GGGAAAUACUGGGGGUCGCAUUCUGCACUGGUUUCUGGAAGCUGUGUCGUAAAUGAGUCUAGGCGGAUCUAGGGGAUGGUUUUAGGGGGUCAGGGUUUCGUGAUAGUUCUGCUUGAGAGGCUGUCUGAGGGGUUUUUUUUGUGCUCAGGGCAGGGGCUGGGCUGUUUCCAGGUCGCCCCGUCUCAGGGCUGGCCGAUAACAGAGCCUCAGCCCUUGAGUCCCUAUUCUGCCUGUGUAUUAACACUGCUUAUCUGCACUCCGAUAGAGCUGUGUGCCAUUUGCCUUUCGGAGGAAUUAGCUUGUCUUCCCUGGCUAACCAGGCAGUGGUGAUUAACCUUUCCACUGUUCAAUAUCCUCUCUGCUGUCUCCCUGUUCAGAUUAGACUCAACAUCAUUACUGUAGGUAUGACUCCAGAAAUGAGCUGCUGCUAGUUUAAAAAAAAAAAAAAAAAAAAAAAAAACAAGGCUUAGGAGAAGAUAUUUUUGUGUGUGAGGAGGGAGUCUGACCAAACGUUUUAUUUCUCGAAGGCUCAAGUAAACACACACAAUUUUUUAUUCAGCCGAGACUAUAAAUAUUCAGCAUCACUGAGCGCAUAUAUCACCUCAGUGGAAUAAGUAAUGAAACAGACACAGUUUGUCAAUUUGACCCAACUGUCAAUCACUUUUUCUCCAUAAAUCAGUAAUCCAUUAACCAGCCCUCCCUCCCUGCGAGUGAUUAUUUGCUAUUAUUCAACAAAUAUCAUAAUACGUUUUUCACACACACCCGGAGGCACAUCCACAAAUCAAUUAUUUCCUCACAAAGACUUGAAAGUACUUAGCAAGAUGCCUGACGGAAAAGCUGCGGGUUAUAUCAAAUUGAACCUCUCAUUUGUUUCUCUCGCUCACACACACACACACACAAUCUCACAGCACAAUUAGCCAGCGCCUGCCGCGUUUGUUUGGCCCACUUUAAUUCUGCCUGGCAUAUCUACGUUACUACAGAAUAAACCGGCAUACAAAUACCA
This is a long non-coding RNA of Cyprinus carpio (common carp), 1003 nucleotides long. The record is from Ensembl. NCBI's taxonomy places the organism in Eukaryota, Metazoa, Chordata, Actinopteri, Cypriniformes, Cyprinidae.